Molecule: non-coding RNA, 73 nt
Organism: Parelaphostrongylus tenuis
Lineage: Eukaryota; Metazoa; Nematoda; Chromadorea; Rhabditida; Metastrongylidae
Source: the annotation of a GenBank genome assembly
GCCUCAGUGGUGUAGUGGUAGACCACGCUUCCCCGGAUAGAAUGAAUCGUAGGUUCGAUUCCCGCCUGAGGGA